AGUGAACGCUGGCGGUAGGCCUAACACAUGCAAGUCGAACGGCAGCACAGUAAGAGCUUGCUCUUACGGGUGGCGAGUGGCGGACGGGUGAGGAAUACAUCGGAAUCUACUUUUUCGUGGGGGAUAACGUAGGGAAACUUACGCUAAUACCGCAUACGACCUACGGGUGAAAGCAGGGGAUCUUCGGACCUUGCGCGAUUGAAUGAGCCGAUGUCGGAUUAGCUAGUUGGCGGGGUAAAGGCCCACCAAGGCGACGAUCCGUAGCUGGUCUGAGAGGAUGAUCAGCCACACUGGAACUGAGACACGGUCCAGACUCCUACGGGAGGCAGCAGUUGGGAAUAUUUGACAAUGGGCGCAAGCCUGAUCCAGCCAUACCGCGUGGGUGAAGAAGGCCUUCGGGUUUUAAAGCCCUUUUGUUGGGAAAGAAAAGCAGCAGGUUAAUACCCCGCUGUUCUGACGGUACCCAAAGAAUAAGCACCGGCUAACUUCGUG
Molecule: ribosomal RNA, 492 nt
Filed under: uncultured bacterium
Lineage: Bacteria
Description: partial 16S ribosomal RNA
Rfam family: Bacterial small subunit ribosomal RNA
Source: RNAcentral